Molecule: transfer RNA, 70 nt
Filed under: Niviventer fulvescens (Chestnut white-bellied rat)
Lineage: Eukaryota; Metazoa; Chordata; Mammalia; Rodentia; Muridae
Description: tRNA-Pro
Rfam family: tRNA
About the family: Transfer RNA (tRNA) molecules are approximately 80 nucleotides in length. Their secondary structure includes four short double-helical elements and three loops (D, anti-codon, and T loops).
Source: RNAcentral
UCAAGAAGUAGUUUAAGUAGAAUAUCAGCUUUGGGUGUUGAUGGUGGGGAAAAGAUUCCUUCUUCUUGAU